RNAcentral lists this ribosomal RNA (253 nucleotides) under uncultured bacterium. Its description in RNAcentral is "partial 16S ribosomal RNA". It matches the Rfam family "Archaeal small subunit ribosomal RNA", at positions 474 to 727 of the family's 1478-position model. The record is from RNAcentral.
UACCAGCACCCCGAGUGGUCGGGACGAUUAUUGGGCCUAAAGCAUCCGUAGCCGGUUCUACAAGUCUUCCGUUAAAUCCACCUGCUUAACAGAUGGGCUGCGGAGGAUACUAUAGAGCUAGGAGGCGGGAGAGGCAAGCGGUACUUAGUGGGUAGGGGUAAAAUCCGUUGAUCCAUUGAAGCCCACCAGUGGCGAAGGCGGCUUGCCAGAACGCACUCGACGGUGAGGGAUGAAAGCUGGGGGAGCAAACCGG